Molecule: ribosomal RNA, 1007 nt
Filed under: human gut metagenome
Description: bacterial LSU rRNA
Rfam family: Bacterial large subunit ribosomal RNA
Source: RNAcentral
GGUAAACGGCGGCCGUAACUAUAACGGUCCUAAGGUAGCGAAAUUCCUUGUCGGGUAAGUUCCGACCCGCACGAAAGGCGUAAUGAUUUGAGCGCUGUCUCGACAAUGCACCCGGUGAAAUUGAAAUACCAGUGAAGAUGCUGGUUACCUGCGCCAGGACGGAAAGACCCCAUGGAGCUUUACUCCAGCUUGAUACUGGGAUUCGGUAAUGCAUGCACAGGAUAGGUGGGAGACUAAGAAGUAUGGGCUUUGGCUUAUACCGAGUCGAUGUUGGGAUACCACCCUUGUAUUGCUGAGAUUCUAACACGGAGGCUAACAACCUCGUGGACCAUCUCAGGUAGGCGGUUUGACUGGGGCGGUCGCCUCCGAAAGGGUAUCGGAGGCGCUCAAAGGUUCCCUCAGAAUGGUUGGAAACCAUUCGAAGAGUGCAAAGGCAGAAGGGAGCUUGACUGCGAGACAGACAAGUCGAGCAGAGACGAAAGUCGGGCUUAGUGAUCCGGUGGUACUGUGUGGAAAGGCCAUCGCUCAACGGAUAAAAGCUACCCUGGGGAUAACAGGCUAAUCUCUCCCAAGAGUUCAUAUCGACGGGGAGGUUUGGCACCUCGAUGUCGGCUCAUCACAUCCUGGAGCUGGAGUAGGUUCCAAGGGUUGGGCUGUUCGCCCAUUAAAGUGGUACGCGAGCUGGGUUCAAAACGUCGUGAGACAGUUUGGUUCAUAUCCAUCGCGGGCGCAAGAAGUUUGAGGGAGGCUGCUCCUAGUACGAGAGGACCGGAGUGGACGCAUCACUGGUGUUCGGGUUGUCAUGCCAAUGGCACUGCCCGGUAGCUAAAUGCGGAAGAGAUAAGUGCUGAAAGCAUCUAAGCACGAAACUUGCCCCGAGAUGAGUUCUCCCUGACUCCUUGAGAGUCCUGAAGGAACGUUGAAGACGACGACGUUGAUAGGCCGGGUGUGUAAGCGCAGCGAUGCGUUGAGCUAACCGGUACUAAUGAACCGUGAGGCUUAACCUU